RNAcentral lists this ribosomal RNA (268 nucleotides) under Vibrio cholerae O1 biovar El Tor. RNAcentral's name for it is "partial 23S ribosomal RNA". It matches the Rfam family "Bacterial large subunit ribosomal RNA", at positions 2685 to 2925 of the family's 2925-position model. Lineage: Bacteria; Pseudomonadati; Pseudomonadota; Gammaproteobacteria; Vibrionales; Vibrionaceae. The record is from RNAcentral.
GAGAGGACCGGAGUGGACGAACCUCUGGUGUUCGGGUUGUGUCGCCAGACGCAUUGCCCGGUAGCUAAGUUCGGAAUUGAUAAGCGCUGAAAGCAUCUAAGCGCGAAGCGAGCCCUGAGAUGAGUCUUCCCUGACAGUUUAACUGUCCUAAAGGGUUGUUCGAGACUAGAACGUUGAUAGGCAGGGUGUGUAAGCGUUGUGAGGCGUUGAGCUAACCUGUACUAAUUGCCCGUGAGGCUUAACCAUACAACACCCAAGGGGUUUUGUA